GAGAUUGGAAUUCCUGGUGUAGCGGUGGAAUGCGCAGAUAUCAGGAGGAACACCGAUGGCGAAGGCAGAUCUCUGGGCCGUAACUGACGCUGAGGAGCGAAAGGGUGGGGAGCAAACAGGCUUAGAUACCCUGGUAGUCCACCCCGUAAACGUUGGGAACUAGUUGUGGGGUCCAUUCCACGGAUUCCGUGACGCAGCUAACGCAUUAAGUUCCCCGCCUGGGGAGUACGGCCGCAAGGCUAAAACUCAAAGGAAUUGACGGGGACCCGCACAAGCGGCGGAGCAUGCGGAUUAAUUCGAUGCAACGCGAAGAACCUUACCAAGGCUUGACAUAUACGAGAACGCUGCAGAAAUGUAGAACUCUUUGGACACUCGUAAACAGGUGGUGCAUGGUUGUCGUCAGCUCGUGUCGUGAGAUGUUGGGUUAAGUCCCGCAACGAGCGCAACCCUCGUUCUAUGUUGCCAGCACGUAAUGGUGGGAACUCAUGGGAUACUGCCGGGGUCAACUCGGAGGAAGGU
This 519-nucleotide ribosomal RNA is filed under the name uncultured Actinomycetes bacterium. RNAcentral's name for it is "bacterial SSU rRNA". It matches the Rfam family "Bacterial small subunit ribosomal RNA", at positions 657 to 1174 of the family's 1533-position model. The record is from RNAcentral. Lineage: Bacteria; Bacillati; Actinomycetota; Actinomycetes.